CCUACGGGAGGCUGCAGUGGGGAAUAUUGCACAAUGGGGGAAACCCUGAUGCAGCGACGCCGCGUGCGUGAAGAAGUAUUUCGGUAUGUUAAGCUCUUUCAGUAGGGGAGAAAAUGACGGUACGUGUUUAAGAAGCUACGUCUAACUACGUUCCAGCAGCCGCGGUAAUACGUAGGGAGCAAGCGUUAUCCGGAUUUACUGGGUGUAAAGGGAGCGUAGACGGUGUUGCAAGUCAGAAGUGAAAGGCCGGGGCGCAACGCGGGGACUGCUUUUGCAACUGGGUUACUGGAGUGCAGGGUAGGUAAGCGGAAUUCGUGGUGUAGCGGUGAAAUGCGUAGAUAUCAGGAAGAACGCCGGUGGCGAAGGCAGCUUACUGGAGUGUAACUGACGUUGAGGCUCGAAAGCGUGGGGAGCGAACAGGAUUAGAUACCCUGGUAGUC
This 440-nucleotide ribosomal RNA is filed under the name uncultured bacterium. RNAcentral's name for it is "partial 16S ribosomal RNA". It matches the Rfam family "Bacterial small subunit ribosomal RNA", at positions 338 to 795 of the family's 1533-position model. The record is from RNAcentral.